UGUAGCCGGAGAAUGCAUCCAUGAAGGUGAGAAGCUCGUGGCCCGAGAUUGCAUCUACUAGUUGGUCGAUUCUGGAUAGAGGAUAACUAUCCUUCGGACUAGGUUUUAUUCAGUUUUUUGAAGUCUAUACACAUCCUCCAUUUGUCGUUCGUCUUCUUAACCAAGACCACAAUGGAAAGCCAGCUCGGAUAGUUGACCUCUCUGAUGAACCCGGCUUUCAGGAG
RNAcentral lists this long non-coding RNA (224 nucleotides) under Elaeis guineensis (African oil palm). Its description in RNAcentral is "long non-coding RNA (EGUI_LNC056706)". The record is from RNAcentral. Lineage: Eukaryota; Viridiplantae; Streptophyta; Magnoliopsida; Arecales; Arecaceae.